Pelobates cultripes (western spadefoot toad) is the source of this 388-nucleotide non-coding RNA. The record is from the annotation of a GenBank genome assembly. Lineage: Eukaryota; Metazoa; Chordata; Amphibia; Anura; Pelobatidae.
CUGGAUCCUGGGUCACUCAUAUAUUUAUUGGGCAGCGUGCAGAGCUGAGCAAAGGUCCUACGGGAGGAACCUAGGUUUUCCUUUUGAAGUGGCAGGGGUUCGUUGGCGAGGCGUUCGAGGGCUCUCCUGGGGUUUUACACAGAAUGCAUGGAGUUACGGAGGUUUGUUUCGGGGCCUGUGACGUUAGUGGUCCAUGUUGGGGGUAAUGACUUGGGUCGGGAGCGGACAAUAGAUCUUAUAUUUCAGAUUAAACAGGACUUGGCCCGGUGCAUAGUUCUUUUACGGGACUUCACACUUAUUUGGUCCAAAAUUGUUCCGCGCCCAUGUUGGUGAGCAUUGCAGCACGCCCACGGAAUUGAGUGGGAGCGGCGAAAAUUGAACAUGACAG